UGGGGAAUAUUGCACAAUGGGCAAAAGCCUGAUGCAGCGACGCCGCGUGAGGGAUGACGGCCUUCGGGUUGUAAACCUCUUUCAGCAGGGAAGAAGCGAAAGUGACGGUACCUGCAGAAGAAGCGCCGGCUAACUACGUGCCAGCAGCCGCGGUAAUACGUAGGGCGCAAGCGUUGUCCGGAAUUAUUGGGCGUAAAGAGCUCGUAGGCGGUUAGUCGCGUCUGCUGUGAAAAUCUCGAGGCUCAACCUCGGGCUUGCAGUGGGUACGGGCAGACUAGAGUGCGGUAGGGGAGAAUGGAAUUCCUGGUGUAGCGGUGGAAUGCGCAGAUAUCAGGAGGAACACCGAUGGCGAAGGCAGUUCUCUGGGCCGUAACUGACGCUGAGGAGCGAAAGCGUGGGGAGCGAACAGGAUUAGAUACCCUGGUAGUCCACGCCGUAAACGUUGGGCGCUAGAUGUGGGAACCAUUCCACGGUUUCCGUGUCGCAGCUAACGCAUUAAGCGCCCCGCCUGGGGAGUACGGCCGCAAGGCU
RNAcentral lists this ribosomal RNA (531 nucleotides) under uncultured bacterium. Its description in RNAcentral is "partial 16S ribosomal RNA". It matches the Rfam family "Bacterial small subunit ribosomal RNA", at positions 355 to 895 of the family's 1533-position model. The record is from RNAcentral.